This 85-nucleotide ribozyme is filed under the name Aedes aegypti (yellow fever mosquito). RNAcentral describes it as "drz-agam-1 ribozyme". It matches the Rfam family "drz-agam-1 ribozyme". Lineage: Eukaryota; Metazoa; Arthropoda; Insecta; Diptera; Culicidae. The record is from Rfam by way of RNAcentral.
UGCCCAGCAAUUCCUAUCCCUACCUCCUCGUGGUACUGGUCGGGAUACGAGUAACCUUGGGGAAGAUCGGUUUAGAGGGCGUCGG